Molecule: long non-coding RNA, 321 nt
Filed under: Anas platyrhynchos platyrhynchos (common mallard)
Lineage: Eukaryota; Metazoa; Chordata; Aves; Anseriformes; Anatidae
Description: lncRNA (ENSAPLG00000021129.1)
Source: RNAcentral
AUGAUUAGUCUGUGGACAUUUUUCCCUCCAAAUUUUCAGCUCCUUAUGUGCAAACUAAACAAAUGGAAGGCUUCUGCUAAGCUUCGACUCUCACAAAACUCAGCUCCUUGCCUCCAACGAAUCAACAGCCACAAACCCCGUGCAGGCUGGGAAGAAAGAAGAGGGCUAGGUACUGUACAAACACAGGACAGCUGCACAGAUAUUAUCACAGAACAACAGGCUGAAUGGAUUUUGAAAGAUCAGAGUUUAUCAUGCUGCCCCAAGGCAAGAUUAACUAUCCCUGUGUUAUUCCUAAAAGAUGUUUGUAUAAGUCGUUCUUAA